AGAGUUUGAUCCUGGCUCAGGACGAACGCUGGCGGCGUGCCUAAUACAUGCAAGUAGAACGCUGAAGAGAGGAGCUUGCUCUUCUUGGAUGAGUUGCGAACGGGUGAGUAACGCGUAGGUAACCUGCCUUGUAGCGGGGGAUAACUAUUGGAAACGAUAGCUAAUACCGCAUAACAAUGGAUGACCCAUGUCAUUUAUUUGAAAGGGGCAAAUGCUCCACUACAAGAUGGACCUGCGUUGUAUUAGCUAGUAGGUGAGGUAACGGCUCACCUAGGCGACGAUACAUAGCCGACCUGAGAGGGUGAUCGGCCACACUGGGACUGAGACACGGCCCAGACUCCUACGGGAGGCAGCAGUAGGGAAUCUUCGGCAAUGGGGGCAACCCUGACCGAGCAACGCCGCGUGAGUGAAGAAGGUUUUCGGAUCGUAAAGCUCUGUUGUAAGUCAAGAACGAGUGUGAGAGUGGAAAGUUCACACUGUGACGGUAGCUUACCA
This 495-nucleotide ribosomal RNA is filed under the name uncultured Streptococcus sp. Its description in RNAcentral is "bacterial SSU rRNA". It matches the Rfam family "Bacterial small subunit ribosomal RNA", at positions 8 to 485 of the family's 1533-position model. The record is from RNAcentral. Lineage: Bacteria; Bacillati; Bacillota; Bacilli; Lactobacillales; Streptococcaceae.